This 374-nucleotide ribosomal RNA is filed under the name uncultured bacterium. RNAcentral describes it as "bacterial SSU rRNA". It matches the Rfam family "Bacterial small subunit ribosomal RNA", at positions 521 to 896 of the family's 1533-position model. The record is from RNAcentral.
UAAUACGGAGGGAGCAAGUGUUGUCCGGAAUCACUGGGCGUAAAGGGGGUCUAGGUGGGUUCCUAAGUCAGAUGUGAAAAUUCCUGGCUUAACCCGGAACGUGCAUCUGAUACUGGGAAUCUUGAGCACGGUAGAGGAGAGUGGAACUCUCAGUGUAGCGGUGGAAUGCGUAGAUAUUGAGAGGAACACCAUUGGCGAAGGCAGCUCUCUGGGCCGUUGCUGACACUAAAGCCCGAAAGCUGGGGUAGCGAACAGGAUUAGAUACCCCGGUAGUCCUAGCCGUAAACGAUGGGCACUAGAUGUUUUCGCUUUAAGCGGGAGUGUCGAAGUUAACGCGUUAAGUGCCCCGCCUGGGGAGUACGGUCGCAAGGCUG